AAUCGCACCACCUUUCUUUCAGUUUUUGAUUUCUUAUUAGAGUUUGCAAAUAUCAAGUCCUAGUUGUUAUUGUUUUUGUUGCAGCGUUGUUGUUAUUAUUGUUGUCCUGUUGUGAUGUCUCCUUGGUUUGUGAGCUGUUGUGGUGGUUGUUUGUGAGGUUCUUUUGUUGUUGUUGUUGCUACUUUUUGUUGUUGUUCUUAUUGUUGGUUGUUGUUGGGGUGGUGAUGUCGCAGUGAUUGUUAUUGCGCUGUUGUGGUCGUGGCAGUGUUCUGUUAUUGUUAGUGUUAUUGUUGGUGGUGGAUGUCAAGUUGUUGUUGUUGCUUAUUGUUAUUGGGUUUUCUUUGUUUAGUUGUUGAGGUUGGUGGUGGUGAUGAUGGUUGUAGUGGUGUUGUUGUUGUGUUUGGUUGUAAAGGAUUUCUAUAUUGACAAUUAAGGAAAUUAGAAGGUUAAAGGUUGAUAAUUUCUAGAUUGAGAUUACCUAUGAUUAUAUUUCCUAGUUUAGAUUAGUUUAAGUUUGGUUUUUAAUUAUCGUUAUAAUUGUGAGGUGAUUCUUGGAGGAUGAUUUUGGAGAUGAAGAUUAUUGAAGGUGGUGUUGGAUUUGGAUUGCGAUUCAGGUUUGGUAUCAAAGGCUCGGAAUUGGAAGUGGAGCAAGAUCAAGGUGUCAUAGUGGCUUAGUUACAAGCUUGUAAUUUAGAUAGUUGGUUUGAGAAUAGUUAUUGAUAUUUUCGAUGUAUAAUAUUUGGGAAUCUAGUUGAGAUAAUUGUGUUAUUUUAAGGAUUUUAUUUUGUGGGCCAAUAACCCACAGGUCCAGGAUCGAUUUCUAGGUUAUAUUUCCGCUGCGAGUUAAGUGUUUAAGUUGAGGCUUAUUAAGCUUUGAUUAUGAUUAGUG
Molecule: long non-coding RNA, 889 nt
Organism: Beta vulgaris subsp. vulgaris (sugar beet)
Lineage: Eukaryota; Viridiplantae; Streptophyta; Magnoliopsida; Caryophyllales; Amaranthaceae
Exons: 2
Source: RefSeq, a predicted model, not a curated record